UUGGAACAUAUAUGCCUUACUCACUUGAGAAGAGAGAAGGGGGUGGCUUUGAAGCACGGCCUGCUAAAGAGUACAAGGACGAUUAAAUGUUGCCUGAUGAAGGCCUUGUUUCAGCAAUAUACCACCACCACCAUUAGUCUUUCCUCUAUUAAUUAACUGCAUCGGUUUUGUGAUUUGUGUAUAUACAAAUUGUUGUGCUUUCUUAUUAUUAUUAUUAUUUUUUAUGUAGUUAACACAAAAAAGGAUGCAUCCACAUAAUUUUUGGCAGUGACGAUCUAUAAAGUGCAGUGGAUGCAUCCUUUUUUGUGUUAACUAC
Molecule: unclassified non-coding RNA, 316 nt
Filed under: Hevea brasiliensis (rubber tree)
Lineage: Eukaryota; Viridiplantae; Streptophyta; Magnoliopsida; Malpighiales; Euphorbiaceae
Source: RNAcentral